This 253-nucleotide ribosomal RNA is filed under the name uncultured bacterium. RNAcentral's name for it is "partial 16S ribosomal RNA". It matches the Rfam family "Bacterial small subunit ribosomal RNA", at positions 524 to 776 of the family's 1533-position model. The record is from RNAcentral.
UACGGAGGGUGCGAGCGUUAUUCGGAAUAACUGGGCGUAAAGGGCACGCAGGCGGGUUUUUAAGUGAGAUGUGAAAUCCCCGGGCUUAACCUGGGAAUAGCAUUUGAGACUGGGAGUCUAGAGUACUUUAGGGGGGGGUAGAAUUCCACGUGUAGCGGUGAAAUGCGUAGAGAUGUGGAGGAACACCAGAGGCGAAGGCAGCCCCUUGGGAAUGUACUGACGCUCAGGUGCGAAAGCGUGGGGAGCAAACAGG